GAUGAACGCUGGCGGCGUGCCUAAUACAUGCAAGUCGAACGAAGCUUCUUUAUCACCGAGUGCUUGCACUCACCGAUAAAGAGUUGAGUGGCGAACGGGUGAGUAACACGUGGGCAACCUGCCCAAAAGAGGGGGAUAACACUUGGAAACAGGUGCUAAUACCGCAUAACCAUAGUUACCGCAUGGUAACUAUGUAAAAGGUGGCUAUACUACCGCUUUUGGAUGGGCCCGCGGCGCAUUAGCUAGGUGGUAGGGUAAAGGCUUACCAAGGCAAUGAUGCGUAGCCCAAUUGAGAGGGUGAUCGGCCACAUUGGGACUGAGACACGGCCCAAACUCCUACGGGAGGCAGCAGUAGGGAAUCUUCCACAAUGGGCGAAAGCCUGAUGGAGCAACGCCGCGUGGGUGAAGAAGGUCUUCGGAUCGUAAAACCCUGUUGUUAGAGAAGAAAGUGCGUGAGAGUAACUGUUCACGUUUCGACGGUAUCUAACCAGAAAGCCACGGCUAACUACGUG
RNAcentral lists this ribosomal RNA (512 nucleotides) under uncultured bacterium. RNAcentral describes it as "partial 16S ribosomal RNA". It matches the Rfam family "Bacterial small subunit ribosomal RNA", at positions 28 to 507 of the family's 1533-position model. The record is from RNAcentral.